CACAAAAGGCAUAGCAAAUACACAGGUGGGGGACAUCAGGUGUUGCGUAGAUGUGGCAUCAUAUGGAGACUGUCUGGCUGUGAGCAGGGCUGAGAGAGCAAGCUGCCAGUCAGUAUGACGGGAGGAUUGCAUUAGCUACGAGCACAUGUGGUAACCAUUUCCAGUCCAUAUCCAUAUAAGAUGGUGGACCUGCACCUAGAAAAGACCUGACUUGAACAGACUUGAAUGACCACGAUACAAGGAUACAACUAGAUGAGCCAGACAGAUCCCCUGUGAAGACAUAAUCGACAUGACAGCCAUCAGCACAGAUCCUCGUUGAAGACGACAAGAACCAGACAAGUCCUCUGCACAGCCCCUGUGACCAGUUUCAAAUCCUUCUCCAUGUAAUGUACUGCAAUCUUCAAUCAUAAGGAACUGGAUGAAUAUUCUGAAUGAUACCAAUUCACGAACUGACUUGUGAUGCGGCCUAAUGUUCAUUGUCCUGGCCAGACAGAACUGCUCCCUCCCUCCACCUGCCACUCUUGUGUUCAGUGGGUCUUUUAUAAGGUUCAAGUGAAAUUGCCCAUGUGUACACCUAAAACCUGUAACCUUCAAGCAGUGCUAGUAUGGCACAUUUAGAGUUCCUGGCAGUACAGUAUCGUUUCCUUUCCACUGUUUUUACAGAGAGAAAAAAAAUCAGUCUUUGAGGGCUUCACAUCCUGUUCCUGUUCUUCCUGACCUGAGGAUACCUGCUUCCUGUUCCUUGAACAACAGUGGCUGUAACUGAGGAAACCAACACUAUGACUGACUACACUGUUUUGAGAUGAAAUGUCACCAAGCAUUCCAAAGCUUGGAUUUCCGUUUUGCCAAUUUCUGCAACAACGUCACUACUGGGAUUGAAGCCUCUGCCUGCUUUCCCUUAUCUCCAAUGAACAGACAUGGGAGCUUCACGCUGAUUCCUG
Molecule: long non-coding RNA, 941 nt
Organism: Cyprinus carpio carpio
Lineage: Eukaryota; Metazoa; Chordata; Actinopteri; Cypriniformes; Cyprinidae
Source: Ensembl